GGAUCUGGGGUUUCUCCCACAUGUUAUUCUUGAAAAGAAAGGAUCAAAAUAUAAAAGCUAUCGUAACAUAUCGUAUUUCUGAUGGAAUUGCCCUGAAAACAAAUAGAAUCCAAGUCUGGAGAUGGAAGAGGAGACUGCCUCUACAAAUCAUCUUUCUCUGCAGAAAGUUUCUGCUGCCCCAACCUGCUUCUCUCUACUGAGGCCUGGAGCAGAGGCCAGGAGCCACAGGAGCACUGUGGAGGAUCUGAUUUC
Molecule: long non-coding RNA, 252 nt
Organism: Suricata suricatta (meerkat)
Lineage: Eukaryota; Metazoa; Chordata; Mammalia; Carnivora; Herpestidae
Exons: 3
Source: RefSeq, a predicted model, not a curated record